Ciona intestinalis (vase tunicate) is the source of this 290-nucleotide non-coding RNA. The record is from RefSeq and is a predicted model, not a curated record. Lineage: Eukaryota; Metazoa; Chordata; Ascidiacea; Phlebobranchia; Cionidae.
AGAAAAAUCAUGGCAAGGUUAAAUUUCUAUCUUACGAUAUUGCUAGUUUCUAGUUGUUCGGUGGAGAUCGUCAGUGUUGGUUUAGGUCUCGGUAACAAAUUCAUAUCCCGACAGCCUGGUGUAAAAAAACUGCAUCCCUUUUACAAUGUCAAAUCAUCCCCAGUGAAGAUGCAGCAAGACGAGUUGCUACUCCUACAAGCCCUGGCGAAUGACAAGCUUGAUUAGACCAGAUUUGUCUUGGUACUGCAACAAAGAAAAAAAUAUUGAGGCAAUAAACUAAAUUUAAACUA